GUGGCGUACGGGUGAGUAAUAAAUAGGUGACUUACUCCAUGAACGGUGAUAAUUGAAAUAACUUUCUUGUAAACACCGAUAGUCUAACAUAAACUAUAUAUUUUGUUAGUAAAGUAAUUAGAUUAGUCAUGGAAUAGGCUUAUUCUAGAUUAGAUAGUUGGUGGGGUAAUGGCCUACCAAGUCUACGAUCUAUAGCUAUCCUUAAAGGGUGAUUAGCCACACUAGAAUUGAAAGAAGGUCUAGUUUCCUACGGGAAGCAGCAGUGAGGAAUAUUGGGCAAUGAGGGAAACCUUGACCCAGUGAUACCACGUGAGUGAUGAAGGCAUUAACUUGUUGUAAAACUCUUUUAUAGUUUAAGAAUUUGACUAGACUAUGAAUAAGUGCCGGCAAAUUUUGUGCCAGCAACCGCGGUGAGACAAAAGGCACGAAUGUUACUCGGUUUUAAUGGGUUUAAAGGGUGUGUAGGUUUUUUUAUAAGUCAAGUUUAUGGAUACGGCAUAACCGUGGAUAUGGGUUUGAUACUGUAUUAAUUGAGAUUGAUGGAAGUUAAUGGAAUUUCUAGUGUAAAGGUGAAAUUUGUAGAUACUAGAAGGAACAUCCAGGGGCGAAGGCGAUUAACUAUUUCAAUCUGACACUGAGACACGAAAGCGUGGGGAGUAAAAAGGAUUAGAGACCCUUGUAAUCCACGCUGUAAAAGAUGAGUAUUUGAUAUUGUUAAACUUCGUGUUUAGUUGAUGUCUAAGCA
This 745-nucleotide ribosomal RNA is filed under the name uncultured bacterium. RNAcentral describes it as "bacterial SSU rRNA". It matches the Rfam family "Bacterial small subunit ribosomal RNA", at positions 95 to 853 of the family's 1533-position model. The record is from RNAcentral.